This 534-nucleotide small RNA is filed under the name Pongo abelii (Sumatran orangutan). RNAcentral describes it as "processed transcript". Lineage: Eukaryota; Metazoa; Chordata; Mammalia; Primates; Hominidae. The record is from RNAcentral.
CCGGUGUAUUGCCUCUGCCGGCUGCCUUACGAUGUGACCCGCUUCAUGAUCGAGUGUGACAUGUGCCAGGACUGGUUUCAUGGCAGUGAGACCUGCUUGUUGUAGAAAACACAGAAAAAGAAUAAAGAAAGAAAUAAAACUCACCUUGAGUCUACUACAGCCUGGCACAAUCCACUGUUAAAUUUGUUGUUGCAUUAACUCCCAUCUUUUGACUUAGAAUAUAAACAUGUAUUUUUACAAGAUGGGAUUGUGUUAUAAAUACCAUUUUACAACCUAUUUUUUAUUUCUAGUUAAUGUUACAAUGUAAUUGCCAGUUCAUUAAAUAUUCAGCUAAACUUGAUUUCUGAUAUCCCACAAUAUAUAUGUGUCACCAGUUAAUUUGGUAAUUUCUUUUAUGGUUGGACAUUGUACUUUUUUGAACAUUAUUUGUACUUUUUUAUAUUAUAAAUAAUGUGAGGAAACUUUGGACGUUCUGGAAAGGUUUUGCAUCUUGAUAUGAGUGCUGAUUAAAACAGAAAAACAUUAUGGAAAGCA